Molecule: ribosomal RNA, 551 nt
Filed under: uncultured bacterium
Lineage: Bacteria
Description: bacterial SSU rRNA
Rfam family: Bacterial small subunit ribosomal RNA
Source: RNAcentral
UUAGGUAGUUGGUGGGGUAAAGGCCUACCAAGCCGACGAUCCUUAGCUGGUCUGAGAGAACGACCAGCCACACUGGGACUGAGACACGGCCCAGACUCCUACGGGAGGCAGCAGUGGGGAAUUUUGGACAAUGGGCGCAAGCCUGAUCCAGCCAUGCCGCGUGUGUGAAGAAGGCCUUCGGGUUGUAAAGCACUUUCGGCCGGAACGAAAUCGCGCGGGUUAACAGUCCGCGUGGAUGACGGUACCGGAAGAAGAAGCACCGGCUAACUACGUGCCAGCAGCCGCGGUAAUACGUAGGGUGCGAGCGUUAAUCGGAAUUACUGGGCGUAAAGGGUGCGCAGGCGGUUGCGCAAGUCAGGCGUGAAAUCCCCGGGCUUAACCUGGGAAUGGCGCUUGAAACUACGUGACUCGAGUAUGGCAGAGGGAGGUGGAAUUCCACGUGUAGCGGUGAAAUGCGUAGAGAUGUGGAGGAACACCGAUGGCGAAGGCAGCCUCCUGGGCCAAUACUGACGCUCAUGCACGAAAGCGUGGGGAGCAAACAGGAUUAGAUA